AAAGUAAAAGGAAUAAUAGUCAAGGAAGAAAGGAGGGAAGUGGCAGGGAGAUAGCACAGAAUAGAGACAGAGAUAGCUAGUCUCGUGAGAAUUUUUCAGAUUAUUUGGCAAGUCUAAAAAUAUCCUCCAGUCUGAGAGAACGAAACUGGAACGAAACCCACUAUUAGUAGCCUUGCUCUGGUCACAUGCUCCGUGUUGUGGACUGUGUCUUGUAAUAAUACCGACCAUCAACCGAACGUCUUUUGUGCCAAGUUUUAAAGGAAAGUUGAACAGUUUUCUGUUCGGGCUUGAAACACAAAACUCUUUGCAGUUCUGCAGCGUUCUAGACUGGACCAUCGCCCUUUAUGUAAAUUGCAUACAUAAUCGCUGCUCCAAUUCAUGAUUCAUGUAUAACUGAUUCCGAUUAUUGCCGGUGGCAGAUACUUACUUUUUAUUUAGUUUGACACUUGAAAAUGGGUUUUAUUUAAAAUAAAUAGCCACUAAUUCUUAACACGUACACUCAUCACUUUCAUCAAAGAGGUUUUCUACAAAAAACGAACGCACAAAUGAGCAGUGAAAUGACUUUUGAAAAUUUUGCAAAUCAACCAGUUAAACGGCUAGUGUAGUGAACUUACGUAGAUGCGGAUUCACCUAGAGCGAAAAACAAAAACAAAAAAAAGACUACAAAAAAACCAAAGUGCAUGCAUUCUUACAUACAUACAUUUGUUCAUACAAUAUUUUCAGAAUUUCUCCGUCCAUUCGUUGCAUACUCGAAGGAGAAAUUGUAAACUUAACAGAAUUUUUCGUAAGCACAAAACAUAAGCCAUCCAUUGAGAGCAUCCUACUUACCAGAAAAACAAAAGCAAGAGAAAAUAUAAGAAGCACCUACAUACUGAGUGAUUCAGUUAGAUAAACAUACAUACGUACAUACAUACAUACAUGCAUGCAUAGAAACUUAGCUUCACACAUCUAUAUUCUUAUACGUAGUUAAAGUCAUACAAAACACAUGCACACACAUACAUACAUGCAUUCAAAGUAUUUAAAGUGCAUACAGAGUUGCAUACGCCAUCACAAACAUCACAGCGUAUGUAAAUAUGUUUAUAUACAUAUAUGUAUAUGUAUGUCUCUGUAUAUAUUUUAACGAAAUCAGUGGAAAUGUAUUAAAACUGGUGGCACACAUCCAAAAAAGAAUCAAUAUUUAUCACUUAUGAACGGAAAAAGUUAAAAGCUAGGCACAGCUCGCUUUAAUUUACAUGCAUACUUACAUACGUACUUUUCACACAAAUGUUACAAUUUUAUAAAAGCUUCUACGGAAAUGUGACAAAAAAACUGACGAAGAGAUUUUAACAGCAGACUUUAUUUUAUAUUAUCUCAUGACGUAUGGUACCAUUUACGUACCUACCUACACACACUUGCUGUAUGUAUGCAGUUGGUCAAGUUUCAUGUAGAAUUUUCACGUCAAAACGAAAUUAACUACAGUUAGGAAAAUUAACUCAUUGAAACUUACGAAGAAGUAAAAAGUCUUAUACAAAAUAUUAAAUAAAAGUAGAAAAUUUCAAUUAAGUAAUAAAACACAUUUUUCCUAUCCCAUAUUUGCUUACAAUUACACAUACACACAUACAUACACAUCCAUAUGCAGGCAUAAGAAUUUUAUAGAAGCAGUACUUUGAACAUGACAUCGAGCCCCGUUAAUUUUGUUGUUGUUGUAAAAUGUUAGGUGCGUUUAUUCAAAAAUUUACACUCGCACGCCGACACAAGCAAAUCCACUGUAGUCCAGAGAGCAUUGAUGUAUAGAGAGCGUUUAAGAACGAAUGUUUCUGUUAAAUGUCAAAUGCUAACAAAACGCGGCUAAGAAAUUUUUGUAAUUCCAACACGAACGGGAGAAAUUUAACAUACGAGAGUUAACAUAACUGAGCGUAGUCAAAAGAAUUAAAUAUGGCGUUUGCAAUGAAAUGUAAAAUUACAUGAUUUGGUGUAUGGCAAAAUAAAAUAACAGCACAACUUGUACAUUUCUCCUGCCUGCUUUUUGUCGUCGGCAUCAGUGUUCUCUGCUAUUACUGUAAUACAUAUUGUUAGUAUAAAACUUAAUUUAUAUUCAAAACUCUUCUCUCCUCCACAACAAACUUUAACAGCUAGAUAAAUGCAGAAUUUGAAUUAACAAUUCGAUAAAUACAUGCACAGAUACACUCAUACACACAUACACACACAUGCAUCCAUAUGUAAAUGUUAAAUAUUUUCUUUUCGAUAAAGUUAAGUUUCUAAAUACACACAAUCAGUAAUCAGCAACAACAAAAUAAUAACAUGCUUACAUAUUUACUUAUACAUACAAACCAGACGGUGAGGUAUUUUUGAAAACAACACAAUAUUUAAUUAUUAAAGAAUGUUUGAAACCAACAAACCAAAAUACACACAUACCAAGAGAAUGAUAGUAAAAACAAAAACAAAUAUUAAAUUGCAUAAUAUUAAUUAUAAUUACACUAUAUUAACUAUAUCUAUCCUUUUCUCUCUCGACGCUAGAUUGAAUGUCGAGAAACGACAAUAAACUGUGAAAAUGUAUUAAGAAACCAAAAGAAAAAAACCCGAAAAAAACCAACAAAAAAACUCAAAACUUAUAAAAAUUAUGAUACAAACCAGAACUUUAAUGGCAAAUAAAUGAAAACAAACAAAUAUAUAUACAUACAUAUAUUUAACUUUAAAUCAACUGAUAAAGAUGAAUGAUUAUUAUAAUGAAUAUGAUUAUGAUUAUGAUGACGAUGAAAUUUUCUUGCAACCAAUGCGAAAAUGUAAACAAAAUUAUUAUUGAAUAUAAAAGUGCAUAAAAAAAUUUAACAAUGAAAAAGAAAUUAUUAUUACAUAUUAAAUAAAUAAAAAACCAAAUUGUUUUCUAAUAAAGAAAAAAAUAAAGAAAAUUUCCAUACGGU
Molecule: long non-coding RNA, 2900 nt
Organism: Anastrepha obliqua
Lineage: Eukaryota; Metazoa; Arthropoda; Insecta; Diptera; Tephritidae
Exons: 2
Source: RefSeq, a predicted model, not a curated record